CUCUAACAACUACUGGGGAUGGGGAGGCGAAGACGAUGACCUCAGACUCAGGGUUGAGCUCCAAAGAAUGAAAAUUUCCCGGCCCCUGCCUGAAGUGGGUAAAUAUACAAUGGUCUUCCACACUAGAGACAAAGGCAAUGAGGUGAACGCAGAACGGAUGAAGCUCUUACACCAAGUGUCACGAGUCUGGAGAACAGAUGGGUUGAGUAGUUGUUCUUAUAAAUUAGUAUCUGUGGAACACAAUCCUUUAUAUAUCAACAUCACAGUGGAUUUCUGGUUUGGUGCAUGACCCUGGGUCUUUUGGUGAUGUUUGGAAGAACUGAUUCUUUGUUUGCAAUAAUUUUGGCCUAGAGACUUCAAAUAGUAGCACACAUUAAGAACCUGUUACAGCUCAUUGUUGAGCUGAAUUUUUCCUUUUUGUAUUUUCUUAGCAGAGCUCCUGGUGAUGUAGAGUAUAAAACAGUUGUAACAAGACAGCUUUCUUAGUCAUUUUGAUCAUGAGGGUUAAAUAUUGUAAUAUGGAUACUUGAAGGACUUUAUAUAAAAGGAUGACUCAAAGGAUAAAAUGAACGCUAUUUGAGGACUCUGGUUGAAGGAGAUUUAUUUAAAUUUGAAGUAAUAUAUUAUGGGAUAAAAGGCCACAGGAAAUAAGACUGCUGAAUGUCUGAGAGAACCAGAGUUGUUCUCGUCCAAGGUAGAAAGGUACGAAGAUACAAUACUGUUAUUCAUUUAUCCUGUACAAUCAUCUGUGAAGUGGUGGUGUCAGGUGAGAAGGCGUCCACAAAAGAGGGGAGAAAAGGCGACGAAUCAGGACACAGUGAACUUGGGAAUGAAGAGGUAGCAGGAGGGUGGAGUGUCGGCUGCAAAGGCAGCAGUAGCUGAGCUGGUUGCAGCUGCUGAUAGCCUUCAGGGGAGGACCUGCCCAGGUAUGCCUUCCAGUGAUGCCCACCAGAGAAUACAUUCUCUAUUAGUUUUUAAAGAGUUUUUGUAAAAUGAUUUUGUACAAGUAGGAUAUGAAUUAGCAGUUUACAAGUUUACAUAUUAACUAAUAAUAAAUAUGUCUAUCAAAUACCUCUGUAGUAAAAUGUG
Molecule: long non-coding RNA, 1089 nt
Filed under: Homo sapiens (human)
Lineage: Eukaryota; Metazoa; Chordata; Mammalia; Primates; Hominidae
Description: HSALNT0059330
Source: RNAcentral